This 874-nucleotide small RNA is filed under the name Rattus norvegicus (Norway rat). RNAcentral's name for it is "uncharacterized LOC102553197". Lineage: Eukaryota; Metazoa; Chordata; Mammalia; Rodentia; Muridae. The record is from RNAcentral.
GUUGAUUAAUGUGGGAUACCAAGGCUCUGAACUCAGGAUGCAUCCUUCCACCUUGGCUGCACUGGGAGUGGUGAACAGAGAAGACAUACGCCUGGCUCCAUCAGAUCGUGGAUUCUCCUUUAUUCCCAUCAAUGGACAUAUAGAAGCCCAGCAUAAACAGAUGUGAAGAGGAAGGUUUUAAUACCAUAAGUACAGCAAUAUGCAGAAAUGCACAGACUUCAGUGGAAGUACAGACGAGGGAAGCAGAUCUACUCUGAGAGGCACAGCCUGCUUCUACUGAAGGAGAGUUUUCCAGGAAUGUGCAAGACAACAUUUAAAUGUUAAAUUAAAUCUUAAAUGUUAAUUACUCAGCAGUCAAGAGGAGGGCUGUCUGUGAUGCAGAUUCCUUGUGUGCUUGAGAAAAGACUUUAAGCUUCCAGGUCCCAAGAGGGACUGAUGCUUCAGUGCGCCCUGCAUCACAGCAGCAUAGGAAGUGCUGUGAAGUACAUCUUCGUAUGCCCUGUUUACACACCUACACUAAACUGCCUUUGAGAAAUAAGUGCUUAGAUCACAGGAUCCAUGUCCACACCAAGUCCUGUUUGCGCAGGAUUCAGUCUUUAGUCUUGAAGGAUGAGCUAUGCCUCUGCAGUUCUGCAGAGGACGCCGUGGAAGCUUGAGGUUGCACACCGGUACAACUGGAACUGUGGCCCAUCGCUCCUGGUCCUCCAGCUUCACUGCCAAGUGCUACUGAAUAAUGUCACGGCACUGGCAGAUAACCUCAACAGGGAAGAGUAAAUGAACAGCACAGUUUGCCUGACCUCACGGCUGAAUCUGGAGCUCACAGUGCAAGAACGAAAAUGCUGAGUUCAUAUAUAAAGAUGUUGGAAAUUUAUAA